UCUUUAUAUCUGUGAGCUCCAUGUUGUUGUCAAAGUCUAGAGGAAGCUCAUUGUUUUCCAAACCAUCAAGGAUAAAAGCCACUUUUUUCUUUUCAACUCCUGCUACAUCAUGGAAAAUACUUUUGAGCAAACUAUCCAAGCUCAGAGCUUCUUUUCGUUUACUCAGCUUACUAAACCGAAGUGGGACUAUGAUGUCAACAUCCUUGUUGGACUUUCCUUUGGCCCAGUCAAACAUGAACAAUUUAGUUUGAAAUGUUUUGCCAAUACCAGCAACACCCUUUGUCAGAACUGUUCGCACAGUCUUUUUCUUUAAGUCUGUAAAUAUUUCGUUGUAGGUCUUCACCAGUUUUUCUUCAUCUUCGUUGUUUGUGUCUAUCAUGGAGAGUUCUGAAUCUGUCUCCGUUUCAAUCAGUUCCAUCUCAUAUGCGGCUAAGAUCCCGUUUUUCCCGAUCUCUCAGGAAUCUUUUUAACUCCUGAGGGCUGAGAGAUGAUCCAGAGCACAGCUUGAGGAAACAGGUUUCCCUUGAUAAGGUAGAAACUUGAGGCCGUUCUGCAUCAUUGAGAAAAUUAUCGAGCAGAUCCUGGAUGCUUUGAACUUCACCUCUUGUUGCAUUCAGCUCACCAAAAUGAAGCGGAACAAUCAGGUCGAUGUGCAUGUUGGAUUUUCGCUUUGCCCAGUCGACCAUCAACCUCCUUGUAUGAAAUGUUUUACCAAUACCAGCAACUCCCUGAGUUAGCACUAUUCUCCCAUUCCUCUUUGACAUAAUAAAUAAAUCACUGUAGGUUUC
Molecule: long non-coding RNA, 788 nt
Organism: Girardinichthys multiradiatus
Lineage: Eukaryota; Metazoa; Chordata; Actinopteri; Cyprinodontiformes; Goodeidae
Exons: 3
Source: RefSeq, a predicted model, not a curated record